CCUACGGGAGGCAGCAGUGAGGAAUAUUGGUCAAUGGGCGCGAGCCUGAACCAGCCAAGUAGCGUGAAGGAUGACUGCCCUACGGGUUGUAAACUUCUUUUAUAAAGGAAUACAGUGAGGCACGUGUGCCUUUUUGUAUGUACUUUAUGAAUAAGGAUCGGCUAACCCCGUGCCAGCAGCCGCGGUAAUACGGAGGAUCCGAGCGUUAUCCGGAUUUAUUGGGUUUAAAGGGUGCGUAGGCGGCCUUUUAAGUCAGCGGUGAAAGUCUGUGGCUCAACCAUAGAAUUGCCGUUGAAACUGGGGGGCUUGAGUAUGUUUGAGGCAGGCGGAAUGCGUGGGGGAGCGGUGAAAUGCUUAGAUAUCACGCAGAACCCCGAUUGCGAAGGCAGCCUGCCAAGCCAUGACUGACGCUGAUGCACGAAAGCGUGGGGAUCAAACAGGAUUAGAUACCCUUGUAGUC
This 460-nucleotide ribosomal RNA is filed under the name uncultured bacterium. RNAcentral describes it as "partial 16S ribosomal RNA". It matches the Rfam family "Bacterial small subunit ribosomal RNA", at positions 338 to 795 of the family's 1533-position model. The record is from RNAcentral.